UGAUAGGCUGGGUGUGGAAGUGCAGUAAUGCAUUAAGCUAACCAGUACUAAUUGCCCGUAAGGCUUGUCCCUAUAACUUUGGUCAGUUAUA
Molecule: ribosomal RNA, 91 nt
Filed under: Affinundibacterium seohonense
Lineage: Bacteria; Pseudomonadati; Pseudomonadota; Betaproteobacteria; Burkholderiales; Oxalobacteraceae
Description: partial 23S ribosomal RNA
Rfam family: Bacterial large subunit ribosomal RNA (bases 1-72)
Source: RNAcentral